This 466-nucleotide ribosomal RNA is filed under the name uncultured bacterium. RNAcentral describes it as "partial 16S ribosomal RNA". It matches the Rfam family "Bacterial small subunit ribosomal RNA", at positions 28 to 507 of the family's 1533-position model. The record is from RNAcentral.
GACGAACGCUGGCGGCGCGCCUAACACAUGCAAGUCGAACGAGCGAGAGAGAGCUUGCUUUCUCGAGCGAGUGGCGCACGGGUGAGUAACGCGUGAGGAACCUGCCUCAAAGAGGGGGACAACAGUUGGAAACGACUGCUAAUACCGCAUAAGCCCACGACCCGGCAUCGGGUCGAGGGAAAAGGGGCAAUCCGCUUUGAGAUGGCCUCGCGUCCGAUUAGCUAGUUGGUGAGGUAACGGCCCACCAAGGCGAGGAUCGGUAGCCGGGCUGAGAGGUUGAGCGGCCACAUUGGGACUAAGCAACGGUCCAGAAUCCUACGGGAGGCAGCAGUGGGGGAUAUAGCACAAUCGGGGAAACGCUGAUGCAGCGACGACGGGUAGAGGAAGAAGGUCUUCGGAUUGUAAACUACGGUUGUUGAGGAAGAUAAUGACGGUACUCAAAAAGGAAGUGACGGCUAACUACGUG